Molecule: long non-coding RNA, 549 nt
Organism: Syngnathus typhle (broad-nosed pipefish)
Lineage: Eukaryota; Metazoa; Chordata; Actinopteri; Syngnathiformes; Syngnathidae
Exons: 4
Source: RefSeq, a predicted model, not a curated record
UCAAGUCUUGAUUUAAACAAUAAACAAUGCGAUGCUGCUCUCAUUUAGGGCAUCAUUAAGUGUGAGAAGGGGCCCAUCUGCGAAGAAGAAUUCCCCCAGCACCGAUGGCAGCGUCUGGUCCCCGACAAUGCAACCAGAUGGCCCGCUUGUAAAAAGGAAAUAUUCCCUGCUUUCAUCAACGAAGAGGCCUUCAGCUUUCAAGAACCUCCAUCAUGACCUGUAGCCCCGCCCCCUUCGCAAGUUGUCAAUCAUUGAUGAAGCCUAUUUCGAGGGGACGCGACUGCCUUGUCGAGUGAGUUCACCCAAUCCCCAUUGGAUCAACUCUGCAACCUCCACCUCCAUCCUUCCUCGCCCUCCUGGAGGAAGAAAAACAACCGAUCAAUGCGGCGCCUGCGUAUCCUGAGGUUUGGCAAACACUCACGCACGGCAACGCACAUGUUGUCAUUUGGAUGCGGGGGGGACUUCCCCUUUGAGCUCAUGACAUUUUAAUUCACACCCCUUAAAAAAAAAGGCUUCCUCUGAGGUCUGGUUCUUGGAGGAGAGCCCUGU